This 468-nucleotide ribosomal RNA is filed under the name uncultured bacterium. Its description in RNAcentral is "partial 16S ribosomal RNA". It matches the Rfam family "Bacterial small subunit ribosomal RNA", at positions 28 to 507 of the family's 1533-position model. The record is from RNAcentral.
GACGAACGCUGGCGGCGUGCUUAACACAUGCAAGUCGAACGGAAAGGCCCUGCUUUUGUGGGGUGCUCGAGUUGCGAACGGGUGAGUAACACGUGAGUAACCUGCCCUUGACUUUGGGAUAACUUCAGGAAACUGGGGCUAAUACCGGAUAGGAGCUCCUGCUGCAUGGUGGGGGUUGGAAAGUUUCGGCGGUUGGGGAUGGAAUCGCGGCUUAUCAGCUUGUUGGUGGGGUAGUGGCUUACCAAGGCUUUGACGGGUAGCCGGCCUGAGAGGGUGACCGGCCACAUUGGGACUGAGAUACGACCCAGACUCCUACGGGAGGCAGCAGUGGGGAAUAGUGCACAAUGGGCGGAACCCUGAUGCAGCAACGCCGCGUGCGGGAUGACGGCCUUCGGUUUGUAUUCCGCUGUCGCCUGUGACGGAGCGUGAGUGACGGUAAUGGGUAAAGAAGCACCGGCUAACUACGUG